Long non-coding RNA from Anas platyrhynchos (mallard), 2555 nucleotides. RefSeq lists it as uncharacterized. The record is from RefSeq and is a predicted model, not a curated record. Lineage: Eukaryota; Metazoa; Chordata; Aves; Anseriformes; Anatidae.
CAAUGCCAUAAGCCCUUCCAGUAGAUCCCAGCUCUCCCUUGCCGCAGCUUCCAGGUGGUGCUGGAGCUGGGACUGGGCUGAAAGACUGAGCUAAGGAGACAGCCCAGGGUCUUCAAAAACCCUUGGAAAGGGUUUUUGUGUUCUAUAUGUGUUCUUUACACUGCUUUACAGGAAGGCCCCUCAAACAGCUGCGGUGGAAAGUAGCAAGGAGCAUGGUGACCUGUGUGGUAUGCAGGACCAAGCUAUGCCCUAAGAGGUUAUUCAGCUCUCUGGCCAAAGAGUUUGGCUUUCACAUGAAGAAGAGGGAGAAAGCUGUCUUUUCUGUGGCUGAAAAUACUGUCCAGUAUCAAUUAUUAUGAGGCCUUUUAUAACAGCCUUAUGCAGUCAGGAUGGGGGAGUUUUAAAUAGUCACAGCUGUUCUCCACAUUCAUUUGCUCCCUUCUUUAAAGGCUCAGCCCCAUUCCCAGCAUGUAGGUCAUUCACACGUCUUUCUCGGUGAGCUUUUCUCCUGAUUCCUUUCCAACCAGCCACACAGUCACUUCUCCCGUACUUCCCUGCAUGGUCAUGUUGAGCAGCAUCCUGCGUGCUUGAGCUAGCCUUGAUUUGCAGGUCUGCUGCCCGGAACUGUAAGGUCAGACAUGGAGCGAGACUGCAAACCCAGUCGCCUGUGAGGCUUCCCAGACCAUGCAAAAUGCCAGUGCUGUUGUGGGAUUCUAUAGAAUUAGCAAAUGUGAAGCCACUGCUUGCCUCUCCCAUAGUUUGAGGAGAUAGAUUUUGGAGUUACUUGCCCAAAAUGACAGCAAUGCUAUAUCUUCCACAAAUCAGUUUCUGCAUCAGACAGCUGAGUUUUAUGAACCUAGUAUUUAUUAAGUCAAUGGACAUUGCUUCUGAAGCAAGGCUGAGGCACUCAGGUGCACUGACAGCAUCCGCUUCUCAAAACCAACUUAAGUACUUGACCUUAAAACUUAGCACCACCUGUGGACCACUGGUGGACAGGAGGAACCCCUGAAGCACAGCUCGGUUCAGCAGCAUGGGGGGAACAUACCUAGGUCAACAACCUUCCCUCCCCCUUUCCCUCCACCCCUGUGAGAUGUUACAUAGUGCCGUCUAAAUAUCUUAAAUCUGGCUCUGGUGUCCUUCACUGCAGAAUGUUGUUUCUAGAAAAUGUGCCUCUCAGAGGCACUGAGAUGGAUAUCCAUCCAACUUGCAUGGGUUUUGCAUGGCUAUGAAGUCCGUGAUCAAAAUUUGUCCAGGAGGACAUGAUUUUAAUCCUGUUUGGAAAUGACAGAGGAAACAAAAUAACCACUGUUAUUAUCAUAAACACACAAAACCUGUGCCACAGCUGCCAUGCCAACAGACUUCAACACAUUCAGUGUUGAAUCCUUGUACGUUAGGCUUGUUCACUUAUUUAUGCCCAAAAUCAAGCUUCAAGCCAUGCAUCUCCCUGCUUGUAGUGUGACUUGGUGCAAUUCUGCUAUAUUAAUUUCAGACUCAUUAAGAAAAACUCCAAGCAUCAUAUUACUCUGUGCAUUGCAUAUGUACAUGGUAGCAGCUGAUGAAGUAUUCCAGGAAGGAAGGGGAAAUCUGCAGCCUUGUUAACUAACAUUUUUGAAAUGAGAGGGAGAAAAAAUCUCAGCUGGAAGCGUGGAUCUGUCUAUUUACCACCAUAAAAUGGAUCCUUCCCAGUGCCUUUGCAAACAUGCAAAGAAGCAGGGCAAAAACUCUCCUAAAAAUAGCUUGGAUUAACUAGCUUGGAGAUUUACCAACCUUGCUAAUUCCAGGGAACUGGUGAGAAAUUUUCCAUAUAAAUUGGAAAAUAUCUGAAAGGAAUUAAAAUGUUGCCAAAAUGUUAGCAAAUUCUUCAUGCCCAGCCUCUGUUUUCCUGUAGUUCUCCUUGGGCCUGACUCACCUCCUCCUGGAAUCACUGGACAUCCUUCUCCUGAGUUUGUUGGAAGCUUAUCUGGUCGUGUACAUUUUACUUUGAAUUUCUGAGAAAUUUAUGUACAAUGCUGUGAGUUGAUGUAGAAGUAAACAUUUAUUGUAUAGAGAAUAAAUACUGAAAAGCAAUGUUAUUUUAUGGAAAAAUCAUUCUGCUGGAGACACUAUACACACAAUCUAAUACAACUCUUAGGAACACAUAAGAGAAACAUGGGGUUCCUUCACUUUGGGGUGAAUUUCACAUGUAAGACCUCAGCUACACUGACAUCAUACUAUGAAGCAACCUAUUGUAAACAUUUUGCAUUGAAAACAAAAGGUAGAACUUCAUUGAAAUAAUCAUAAAACUACUUUUCCUAUACUAACUACAGCUGUGGGGCAUGUUUCUAUGGAAACAGUUUUCCUUAUGUGCUUCUCUAUAGCUAAAGGUCUCAAAUGGACCUUCUGUCUACUCAUUGCCUGUAUAAACUGCAGAUUCUGUACAAUAAUCUCUAACACAGAUCAGCUGAAUCUCCUGAUAUGUGUCAGAAAACAUUAUCAGGAGGCAAACACCAGUUAUUGCAGGUUCCCAUAAAUUUAUAGAUAAUCAGGUCCUUAGUGGCGAGUUGGCAUCUUCAGUG